RNAcentral lists this ribosomal RNA (345 nucleotides) under Microbacterium sp. 87_c. RNAcentral's name for it is "bacterial SSU rRNA". It matches the Rfam family "Bacterial small subunit ribosomal RNA", at positions 82 to 427 of the family's 1533-position model. The record is from RNAcentral. Lineage: Bacteria; Bacillati; Actinomycetota; Actinomycetes; Micrococcales; Microbacteriaceae.
GCUGGGUGGAUCAGUGGCGAACGGGUGAGUAACACGUGAGCAACCUGCCCCUGACUCUGGGAUAAGCGCUGGAAACGGCGUCUAAUACUGGAUACGAGUAGCGACCGCAUGGUCAGUUACUGGAAAGAUUUAUUGGUUGGGGAUGGGCUCGCGGCCUAUCAGCUUGUUGGUGAGGUAAUGGCUCACCAAGGCGUCGACGGGUAGCCGGCCUGAGAGGGUGACCGGCCACACUGGGACUGAGACACGGCCCAUACUCCUACGGGAGGCAGCAGUGGGGAAUAUUGCACAAUGGGCGCAAGCCUGAUGCAUCUACGCCGCGUGAGGGAUGACGGCCUUCGGGUUGUA